GACGAACGCUGGCGGCGUGCCUAAUACAUGCAAGUCGAACGCUGAAGGAGGAGCUUGCUCUUCUGGAUGAGUUGCGAACGGGUGAGUAACGCGUAGGUAACCUGCCUGGUAGCGGGGGAUAACUAUUGGAAACGAUAGCUAAUACCGCAUAAGAGUAGAUGUUGCAUGACAUUUGCUUAAAAGUUGCAAUUGCAUCACUACCAGAUGGACCUGCGUUGUAUUAGCUAGUUGGUGGGGUAACGGCUCACCAAGGCGACGCUACAUAGCCGACCUGAGAGGGUGAUCGGCCACACUGGGACUGAGACACGGCCCAGACUUCUACGGGAGGCAGCAGUAGGGAAUCUUCGGCGAUGGACGGAAGUCUGACCGAGCAACGCCGCGGGAGUGAAGAAGGUUAUCGGAUCGUAAAGCUCGGUUGUAAGAGAAGAACGAGUGUGAGAGUGGAAAGUUCACACUGUGACGGUAUCUUACCAGAAAGGGACGGCUAACUACGUG
Molecule: ribosomal RNA, 495 nt
Filed under: uncultured bacterium
Lineage: Bacteria
Description: partial 16S ribosomal RNA
Rfam family: Bacterial small subunit ribosomal RNA
Source: RNAcentral